Molecule: long non-coding RNA, 1056 nt
Filed under: Pan troglodytes (chimpanzee)
Lineage: Eukaryota; Metazoa; Chordata; Mammalia; Primates; Hominidae
Description: long non-coding RNA NONPTRT016389
Source: RNAcentral
CGCCGGGCCAAUGUCCUAUCUCAGGGUUUCCCACGUCGCUCGCUCCUUGACGGCUGACCGACACUGGGUCUGAUGUGUAAGCGCUUUCCAGGCCCUUCCCUGGGGCUUGGAGGGGAAUGGCGCAAAGGACUUUUCUUACAAGCAGAGCCACUGCAGUUACCAAAGAGUAUGUCGCUUAUUGUCUAAGAGGUUGGACUCCUGAAAGCCUGGACAGUGUCAUCAUCUUCACCUGAAGAGUGGAAAAAUUCAAGCAAAGAGUUUCUCAGGAAAUGACCAAGUAAAACAUCUGGAGUAAGUCAGCAGGAUUCAAAGUGACUCCCCCCAACCACCUGGUGGUGUUUCUCUCUGAAAGCAGCGCUUGGUACCAGUGUGAACUCUCUUCCUUCAGAAGUCUCAUCAGGUGGACGUAAUACGAGGGUCUGGUCCCCCAUACCUUGAGGACUCCGCUGCCCUCUGACAAUUACAGACAAUCCAAUUGUCCUCAUCCUUGAGGACUCUGCUGCCAUCUGACAAUUAGAGACAGUCCAAAACAUGCCACACUUUGAUCCUAAACACAUUCCUGGCUUUGGUCACUUUUGAAAAGUUCCUGAGUUAUGAGAAAUCAAUAAUAAGAGUGUUCAAAACCUGAACACUCUUUUUAGAAAUACCUGCUGGAACUACAUAUAUGAUUUAUGGGGUACUGUCUUGUAGUAUCUGGGAAAGUAGACCCAUCUAACCUGGAAUGAUCAUAGGCAACAAUGACCAAAAAUGGGGAUCUUUUGAUAUACCUAAAGUAAUUUAUUUGUGCACACCAUUGGAAAGAGCUGGUUUUAGAACCAGACAUGUAAAUAAGAGACUUACUUCCACUGGCACCUAAAAACUUCUAAAAGAAAUCCUGAAAGAAAAAGUCACCUUCAUUCAAGAGGAAAUUCAUAGAAUAGGAUCCUGACAAGUACUCUUGAAUACACGUUUCUGAUAACUUCGGAUAUCAUAUCAUUGGACUAAGUAACAACUUUCAGGUAUGUAAUAAACUGAUGUGUUCCUUAGAUUGCUAACUCAACAUCAAGCAGAACACGA